Molecule: ribosomal RNA, 857 nt
Filed under: uncultured archaeon
Lineage: Archaea
Description: bacterial SSU rRNA
Rfam family: Archaeal small subunit ribosomal RNA
Source: RNAcentral
CCGCUAUUGGAGUUCGAUUAAGCCAUGCGAGUCGAGAGUCUUAGGGACUCGGCGUACCGCUCAGUAACACGUGGGUAACCUGCCCUAUGCUGGGGAAUAACCUCGGGAAACUGAGAAUAAUGCCCCAUAGUCCACUACGCCUGGAACGGUGAGUGGAUCAAAGCUCCGGCGGCAUAGGAUGGGCCUGCGCCGUAUCAGGUUGUAGGGGGUGUAAAGUACCCUCUAGCCAUCAACGCGUACGGGUGUUGGGAGACAUUGCCCGGAGAUGGAUUCUGAGACACGAUUCCAGACCCUACCGGGUGCAGCAGCGCGAAACUUGGCAAUGCGAGCAUCGUGACCAGGGAACUCAAGUGCUGGGGUAGACCCAAGCUUUUCUUGACUCUYMAAGGUCUGRAUUAGGGGUGGGUAAGGACGGUGCCAGCCGCGCGUAAUACCGGCGCCUCAAGUGGUAGUCGCUUUUAUUGGGCUAAAACGUCCGUAGCCGGUCUGGUGCAUUCGUGGGUAAAUCAACCCGCUCAACGGGUUGAAUUCUGCGAGCACGGCCAGACUUGGGACCCGGGAGAGGUGUGGGGUACUCUCAGGGUAGGGGUAAAAUCCUGUCAUCCUGAGAGGACCACCUGUUGCGAAGGCGCCACACUAGAACGGAUCCGACGGUCAGGGACGAAACCUAGGGGCACGAACCGGAUUAGAUACCCGGGUAGUCCUAGGUGUAAACGCUGUGGACUUGAUGUUGGGGGCGCUCCGAGCGCUUUCAGUGUCGAAGCGAAGGUGAUAAGUCCACUGCCUGGGGAGUACGGUCGCAAGGCUGAAACUUAAAGGAAUUGGCGGGGGAGCACUGCAACCUGAGGAUUGUGCGG